GCACAAGCAGCGGAGCGUGUGGUUUAAUUCGAUUGCUACACGAAGAACCUUACCAGGGUUUGACAUGUAAGUGGUAGUGAUCUGAAAAGUGAACGACCCUUCGGGGAGCUUACACAGGUGCUGCAUGGCUGUCGUCAGCUCGUGUCGUGAGAUGUUCGGUUAAGUCCGCUAACGAGCGCAACCCUCACUGUGUGUUAUACGUGUCACACGGGACUGCCGGUUUUAAGCCGGAGGAAGGCGAGGAUGACGUCAAGUCAGCAUGGCCUUUAUAUCCUGGGCUACACACACGCUACAAUGGUCUGUACAACAGGUUGCCAAACCGCGAGGUGGAGCCAAUCCCUAAAACAGGCCUCAGUUCAGAUUGCAGGCUGCAACUCGCCUGCAUGAAGUUGGAGUUGCUAGUAAACGCAGGUCAGCCAUACUGCGUUGAAUACGUUCCCGGGCCUU
This 447-nucleotide ribosomal RNA is filed under the name uncultured Anaerolineaceae bacterium. RNAcentral describes it as "bacterial SSU rRNA". It matches the Rfam family "Bacterial small subunit ribosomal RNA", at positions 923 to 1382 of the family's 1533-position model. Lineage: Bacteria; Bacillati; Chloroflexota; Anaerolineae; Anaerolineales; Anaerolineaceae. The record is from RNAcentral.